This 871-nucleotide ribosomal RNA is filed under the name uncultured bacterium. RNAcentral's name for it is "bacterial SSU rRNA". It matches the Rfam family "Bacterial small subunit ribosomal RNA", at positions 8 to 916 of the family's 1533-position model. The record is from RNAcentral.
AGAGUUUGAUCCUGGCUCAGGAUAAACGCUGGCGGCGUGCCUAACACAUGCAAGUCGAACGCUCUCGGGUAACUGAGAGAGUGGCGGACGGGUGAGUAACACGUGGGUAUCUACCUUGAGGUGAGGAAUACCAGCGAGAAAUCGCUGACAAUACCGCAUAGCUUUCGUAAGAAAGAAAGUCGCAAGACGCCCCAAGAUGAGCCUGCGUCCGAUUAGUUAGUUGGUGGGGUAAUGGCCUACCAAGGCGACGAUCGGUAGCUGGUCUGAGAGGACGAUCAGCCACACUGGGAUUGAGAACGGCCCAGACUCCUACGGGGGGCAGCAGUGAGGAAUUUUCGGCAAUGGACGCAAGUCUGACCGAGCAACGCCGCGUGCAGGAAGAAGGUCUUCGGAUCGUAAACUGCUUUGCUCUGGGACGAGCAAGGACGGUACCAGAGGAACAAGCCCCGGCUAACUACGUGCCAGCAGCCGCGGUAAUACGUAGGGGGCGAGCGUUGUCCGGAGUUACUGGGCGUAAAGCGCACGCAGGCGGUGGUGCACGUUUGGGGUUACAGCUCCCGGCUCAACUGGGAGAGCGCCUCGAAGACGGCAGCACUUGAGGGCCAGAGAGGGACACGGAACUCCGGGUGGAGUGGUGAAAUGCGUAGAUAUCCGGAAGAACACCAAAGGCGAAGGCAGUGUCCUGGCUGGUACCUGACGCUCAGGUGCGAAAGCUAGGGGAGCGAACGGGAUUAGAUACCCCGGUAGUCCUAGCCGUAAACGAUGACCACUAGGUGUGCGGGGUAUCGACCCCCUGCGUGCCGCAGCCAACGCAGUAAGUGGUCCGCCUGGGGAGUACGGUCGCAAGAUUAAAACUCAAAGGAAUUGACGG